Struthio camelus australis is the source of this 1752-nucleotide long non-coding RNA. RefSeq lists it as uncharacterized. The record is from RefSeq and is a predicted model, not a curated record. Lineage: Eukaryota; Metazoa; Chordata; Aves; Struthioniformes; Struthionidae.
AGCUGAGCGAGACGACCGCCAUCCACACAAGCAAAACACAUGUUUUCAACGCAGCUACAGCAGAGUCAGGCCAGAGUGGCAAUUGGGCUUGCAACACUUCCUUGGGACUCCCUGUCAUCAAGAAUUAAGAGGUGGGAGGGCUAAAAAUUUUGCAAAUUUGCAAGCCCCUAAAAUUUAUUUAGUGCCAAAAUGGACCCCCAGAGAACAAACUUGAACUUACUCUCAACAGAACAAUUUAACUAAUAGCUCCCUCCAUACAAUAUGUGCUGGCAUAGCCAGAACUCGGAUCACCUGCCUCCUCUGUGCAAAUUGAGCCAACUGAUAUAAGGAAAAGAUCUACUUGUUUAAAAAGAGAGAGUAUACCUGUGCUAGAGAUUUCUGGAAUGAUUAGCUGCUAGCCUAAGAGUAAGGGAUGAAUGUCAUCUCUUUGCAAAGCGCAGUGGAGAAAAAUUAGUCACCAUGAACCUGGAACGAGGCGAAGGGCAGAGCCACAGAAGGAACAAGACGAAGGCACAGGCCAGCAGAGACAAGGACACUGCGGCGGCUCCCAGAGGCAGCAUCCUAAGUCAGAGGGACAUUUGUUGCAACCCCAAGGAGACAUCCUUACCCGUAUAUCUUUAAGCAAGUGUGUGCUCCAGGAUCCAUCUAUGAACUCUUCCCUCUCGCAAUGCUAAUUGCAACGGCACUUGCAGUUUCACGUAGUUAGUACCAUGUUAUCAGCUGGUUUCCUGGAUCACUGGUAAGAAACUGCUCUAGCAAACAAACGCAAUUCCCUCUUGGAAAAAGCAGUGUGGGAGAUACUACUGUCCUCUUUUAUUAUUGCUUAUGCUGAGAUUUCAAGUACUGUUUUUGCACUGACACUUGAAUUAUAAUGUACAGUCAUUUGUCCUCCUAUCUCACUUUCCAUGCUUCUCAUCUUAUAGGUCAACUGUCACUGAGAAACUAUAUUUUUCCAGCAUCUUCCUAAGAAUCCUAGUGACGUGAUCACUUUGCCUUCCCGUAUUGUUCAGACAAGAGGAACAUAAAAACACAUUUUAUUCUCUAAUACCUUUUUAUAUUUAAUACCGUUUCAGUAAAUAGGCAUUUUGAACAUUUUAACUCAAGCAAGGAAAGUAUAUGGAUGAUUUAUCAUACCUGGUAUAUUCCCUGUAGUAUCUCUCCCAGGUUGGACAGCGGGUACAUUGAAGACCAACUGUACGGAUAAGUACUUCCAGUUCCUUCAGGGACUACUCAUUCACCCUUCUGUGCUGAUAUUUGUUCCAUUGCCCUUUUCCAAUGUUUUAAUCCCAUCUAAAUAGCAUCUUUUGUACUGUUUUUUUUUUAAUCAGAGAAUGAGAAAUGCUUUAUCUCCUCCUAAAUUAUAAAUUAUUAGAAGGGUCAAUUGCAGAAAAUGAAUCAUCAUGAUUUUUUAUGUUUCAAAAAGGCUAAGAAGGGCUUUCCCCAUAUAGAUAUUCAUGUUUAUAAAAAAGUAUCUUCAGAAAAUCUUCAUGAAGGGUAUUUUGAAAGAUUUGACUGAACCAAGGACAGUAGGACUAUAAACAAGGGUAUUUGAAUGCUAACAGAUUAUUUCUUUGUAGGAAACUAUCCAAUAUUCCCAGGCAUUCAUUUCUAUCAUCAAUCUACUAGUAGACAGUGUGGACAAAGAUAGACUCAAUGUGUAAAAAAGACAUAAAAACUGUAUGAUUAUGAAACCUGAAUUCAAUUUUAGUCAAAGUCCUUUAUUAAAGAGAUUAUGAUCAAGUGUGUCACUCA